CGGCAACAGCUCAAAUUUGAAAUCUGGCGCAAGCCCGAGUUGUAAUUUGUAGAGGAUGCUUCUGGGUAGCGACCGAUCUAAGUUCCUUGGAACAGGACGUCAUAGAGGGUGAGAAUCCCGUAUGUGACCGGCCCGCACCCUUUACGUAGCUCCUUCGAC
RNAcentral lists this ribosomal RNA (159 nucleotides) under Ramulispora sorghi. Its description in RNAcentral is "partial large subunit ribosomal RNA". It matches the Rfam family "Eukaryotic large subunit ribosomal RNA", at positions 99 to 261 of the family's 3401-position model. Lineage: Eukaryota; Fungi; Ascomycota; Dothideomycetes; Mycosphaerellales; Mycosphaerellaceae. The record is from RNAcentral.